CAUUGGGGGAUUCAUAAUGGUGUCCAAAAUGGACACAUGGAUCCAUCCAUGUGUCCAUUUUGGACACCAUUAUGAAUCCCCCAAUGUAC
RNAcentral lists this microRNA precursor (89 nucleotides) under Olea europaea subsp. europaea. Lineage: Eukaryota; Viridiplantae; Streptophyta; Magnoliopsida; Lamiales; Oleaceae. The record is from RNAcentral.